CCCUUAGAUGUUCUGGGCCGCACGCGCGCUACACUGACGACUUCAACGAGUUUUUUUCAUUUGAAAAAGUCCUUGGCCGGAAGGUCUGGGUAAUCUUUUAAAAGGUCGUCGUGAUGGGGCUAGAUUCUUGCAAUUAUUAAUCUCCAACGAGGAAUUCCUAGUAAACGCAGAUCAUCAAUCUGCAUUGAUUACGUCCCUGCCCUUUGUACACACCGCCCGUCGCACCUACCGAUUGGAUGGUCCGGUGAAGCCUCGGGAUUGUGGUUCUUGCCGCUUUAUUGUGGCGUGACCGCGAGAACUUGUCUAAACCUUAUCAUCUAGAGGAAGGUGAAGUCGUAACA
RNAcentral lists this ribosomal RNA (341 nucleotides) under uncultured eukaryote. RNAcentral's name for it is "partial 18S ribosomal RNA". It matches the Rfam family "Eukaryotic small subunit ribosomal RNA", at positions 1470 to 1796 of the family's 1831-position model. The record is from RNAcentral.